Long non-coding RNA from Hydra vulgaris (swiftwater hydra), 1442 nucleotides. RefSeq lists it as uncharacterized. The record is from RefSeq and is a predicted model, not a curated record. Lineage: Eukaryota; Metazoa; Cnidaria; Hydrozoa; Anthoathecata; Hydridae.
AGAACUAAGUUUAAUUAGUUUUAUAUCGUACACUAUAUCUCUGGAAUUAAAUUAUUUUGCACAAUUUUGAUACUUCUUAUACUUUUCCCAUUUUCAAGUGUAAACUGAAAAAAUUCUCCGAAUGGAUUUAGUCAGAACUUUUAUUUAUUGUGUUUUCAUGUUUUCUUUCAAUGGUAUGUAUGAAAUAGGCGUAUGUCACGGGGUGAAGCAUUAGUGGUGAUGGCGUAUGUCUGGCAUGAUAAACUAGUUAUUAGUGUUGAUCGUCAUCGAAACGUCAGUAAUAAUAGAUGCGACUCUGAGGAGAUGUUUAUUACUAAAUCACUACACAAAUUAUGUUUACGCAUCAGCAUUAAAUUUUUAUUUUGUAAUCAAUUUUUUGUUUUAUAAACCUGUGAUAUAUCUGUUGUAUAUCUUCGUUCAUAUUAGUGUUUAUAAAAUAAUUUUUUUUAUUAUUAUUGUAAUUAUUGUAAGUAAGGGAGGAUGGGUAGGAGUGAGCCAAGGGUAGGAGUAAAUGAUUGAUCCUACAGCUAAAACCGAAAAUUUUCACCAAGUCGUUACAUACAAACUGUUGUUAACACAAUCCAUUUUUUUUUUACCGCUUCUUGGUGCGGGUGUCUGUCUUGGUGCGGGUGUCUGUCUUGGUGCGGGUGUGUUUACAUUGUUAUCAACUCUUUUCUGUAUAAAAGUAAAUUUUUUGUAUUUUUUGAAACUUCUUUAAUGAGCCGGCUGUUUUGAGACAUUAGAUAGUGGUUAAAGUUUUCUAACAAACAAUGUAGUUUUUAGAAAAAAGUAUUUUACAUGCAUAAACCACGUACUUAUCGCACAUUUAUUGCUUUAAUCCAGUUGUACAGCUUUGGGAUGAAUGAGCUAUUCUUUCACGGAUAGGAGUGUACCGCGGCUUACUAAUACUUCACGUUACAAAAGUUUUGACUUCGGCGUAAAAACAUAUUUAAGUUUGACUUUUAUACCUUAGUAUAUCAUUAGAAAACUUGUGUGCAACAUUACAUUUAUUUUUACCAUAUGUUAUAACGCCUCGAGUCUAUAAAAGAACAACUUCGAAAGAAAAAACUUCUAGUAAAUAUAUGAAAGAAGCAUUACAUUUAAUCCAAAAAGGAAAAAGUAUUUAAGAAAUUGCAAUAACUUCAAAAAUAUUGCUACCUCGACUUACCUUCCCUGGAACAAGUAAAAGGCAGCGUUGCCAUUACGAAUUUGAGGUUGUGUUAGACUAUAUCAAUACUUGCUAAAAAUUAUUUUUAUUGCCAAUAUACUAUAUGCUAAUAUACUACUUUCAUUGCAUAUAAAUACUUUUAUAAUACCUUAUUAUUUGGAAAUUAUCAUUUGUCAUGACAGUUUUCUGUUUUGCUGUCAAAAUCAGUUGUUACUGAAAACGCUUUUUCUGGUAGUUUAUACAUUUUGUUUUAUUUUGUUAAAUGAGUUUAAAA